CCUACGGGAGGCAGCAGUGAGGAAUAUUGGUCAAUGGACGAGAGUCUGAACCAGCCAAGUAGCGUGAAGGAUGACUGCCCUAUGGGUUGUAAACCUCUUUUAUAAAGGAAUAAAACGAGGCACGUGUGCCUUUUUGCAUGUACUUUAUGAAUAAGGAUCGGCUAACUCCGUGCCAGCAGCCGCGGUAAUACGGAGGAUCCGAGCGUUAUCCGGAUUUAUUGGGUUUAAAGGGAGCGUAGAUGGGUUGUUAAGUCAGUUGUGAAAGUUUGCGGCUCAACCGUAAAAUUGCAUGUGAUACUGGCAGUCUUGAGUACAGGUGAGGUAGGCGGAAUUCGUGGUGUAGCGGUGAAAUGCUUAGAUAUCACGAAGAACCCCGAUUGCGAAGGCAGCUUACUAAACUGUGACUGACAUUGAUGCUCGAAAGUGUGGGUAUCGAACAGGAUUAGAUACCCGGGUAGUC
This 460-nucleotide ribosomal RNA is filed under the name uncultured bacterium. RNAcentral's name for it is "partial 16S ribosomal RNA". It matches the Rfam family "Bacterial small subunit ribosomal RNA", at positions 338 to 795 of the family's 1533-position model. The record is from RNAcentral.